GACAGAGGGUGCAAACGUUGCUCGGAAUUACUGGGCGUAAAGCGCGUGUAGGCGGACCACCAAGUCGGACGUGAAAGCCCUGAGCUCAACUCAGGAACUGCAUCCGAAACUGGCGGUCUGGAGUAGUGGAGAGGAAAGCAGAAUUCCUGGCGUAGAGGUGAAAUUCGUAGAUAUCAGGAGGAACACCGGUGGCGAAGGCGGCUUUCUGGACACUUACUGACGCUGAGACGCGAAAGCGUGGGGAGCAAACAGG
RNAcentral lists this ribosomal RNA (253 nucleotides) under uncultured bacterium. RNAcentral's name for it is "partial 16S ribosomal RNA". It matches the Rfam family "Bacterial small subunit ribosomal RNA", at positions 524 to 776 of the family's 1533-position model. The record is from RNAcentral.